GCUUCACACUAUCUUGAUCAAGAGUGUGUGAAUCUUUUGGCAUUUGUAGUUGAAGCUUUAUAGGUGAAGCUUUUGUGUUGAAACUUUGUAGGUGAAGCUUUUGUGUUGAAGCUUUGUAGGUGAAGCUUUGGAGUUGAAGCUUUUAUAGGUGAAACUUUGGAGUUGAAGCUUUGUGGGUGAAGCUUUGGAGUUAAAGCUUUUGUAGGUGAAGCUUUGGAGUUCAAGCUUUGUAGGUGAAGCUUUGUAGGUGAAGAUUUUGUGUUGAAACUUUGUAGGUGAAGCUUUGGAGUUCAAGCUUUUGUAGGUGAAUCUUUGGAGUUCAAGCUUUGUAGGUGAAGCUCUUGUGUUGAAGCUUUGUAGGUGAAGCUUUGGAGUUGAAGCUUUGUAGGUGAAGCUUUGGAGUUGAAGUUUUUGUAGGUGAAGUUUUGGAGUUGAAGCUUUGGAGUUGAAGCUUUGGAGUUGAAGCUUUUGUAGGUGAAGCUUUGGAGUUGAAGCUUUGUGGGUGAAACUUUGGAGUUGAAGUUUUUGUAGUGAAGCUUUGUAGUUGAAGUUUUGUAAGUGAAACUUUUGUGUUGAAGUUUUGUAGGUGAAGUUUUAGAGUUGAAGCUUUGUAGGUGAAGCUUAGAUGUUGAAGCUUUGUAGGUGAAGCUUUUGUGAUGAAGU
This 663-nucleotide long non-coding RNA is filed under the name Malus domestica (apple). RNAcentral describes it as "long non-coding RNA (MDOM_LNC011033)". Lineage: Eukaryota; Viridiplantae; Streptophyta; Magnoliopsida; Rosales; Rosaceae. The record is from RNAcentral.